ACUUAUUUAAAGGGCCGCGGUAAUUUGACCGUGCGAAGGUAGCACAAUCACUUGUCUUUUAAUUGGGGGCUAGAAUGAACGGCUGGAUGAGAGAUUAAGUGUCUCUGAGCUAUAAAUAAAACUUUACUUUUAAGUGAAAAGGCUUAAAUUUCAUUAAGUGAAGAUAAGACCCUAUAAAACUUAUAUAAAAAUUGGUUAUAGCAUGUUUGAUAGUGUAUAGAACGAGAUAACUUAGACUAUAUUUUGUUGGGGCGACAAUAAUAGAAUGAGUAUCUGUUGUUUAUAAUAAGUUAAUGCUGGUUAAAGAGUGAGCCUUUUGUAAGGAUCAAAAGAUUAAGUUACUUUAGGGAUAACAGCGUAAUUUUCUUUGAGAGACCUAAUCGACAAGAGUAGUUGCGACCUCGAUGUUGAAUUAAAAUUUUCUAUAAAGUGCAGAAGCUUUAAUAGUGAGUCUGUUCGACUCUUAAAAUUUUACAUGAUUUGAGUUCAAACCGGUGUGAGCCAGGUU
RNAcentral lists this ribosomal RNA (508 nucleotides) under Harpilius consobrinus. RNAcentral describes it as "partial large subunit ribosomal RNA". It matches the Rfam family "Bacterial large subunit ribosomal RNA", at positions 1917 to 2632 of the family's 2925-position model. Lineage: Eukaryota; Metazoa; Arthropoda; Malacostraca; Decapoda; Palaemonidae. The record is from RNAcentral.